Molecule: long non-coding RNA, 472 nt
Organism: Neopsephotus bourkii (Bourke's parrot)
Lineage: Eukaryota; Metazoa; Chordata; Aves; Psittaciformes; Psittacidae
Exons: 3
Source: RefSeq, a predicted model, not a curated record
CUCUUCACUAAGUUUUAUUAUUUCUCUUCAGAGAUGAUGAAGAGUUCUGGGUUUGCUGAUAGCAGUCCCUACUCCCAGGCAUAAGGUGUCCUGUGAAGGUUACCAACAGGAAGCAUCUGGAAACAGAAAGUGUUUAUUGGGCAGAAGAUACUCCUGUUGGCAGUGGGCUAAGGGAGAUGGCAGAUGUCAUCCUGUGAGAAGCCUGGGGGAAAAGUGAAGACGUGACCUCAAACUGUACUUCUGCCUUCAGCCUGGCAGCAAAAAUCGCCCUCUGCACCCACCUCAUUACGUGUUGUGCCUAACACCUGCAUCAGCCAACACUAAAGAUGCUGCAGUCAACGUGAAAUGUAAAUAGAUAGAGUUCAUUGUUCAGUGGUUUUGUGCUCCCAGUCUUCACAAUACACUUAUCUGGCAUUGUGAGUGGCUGGCAGAGAUGCAGGUUUCAUAAGGAAAAGGACAACAGGGACCUGUU